RNAcentral lists this long non-coding RNA (1547 nucleotides) under Durio zibethinus. RNAcentral's name for it is "long non-coding RNA (DZIB_LNC002091)". The record is from RNAcentral. Lineage: Eukaryota; Viridiplantae; Streptophyta; Magnoliopsida; Malvales; Malvaceae.
GCUCAUCAGUUUUCCAAAAAAAAAUGAAUGAUGUAAUGCUUUACUAUCAUGUAAAAUGACCAGUAAUUAACCAAAAAUGUAAAAUACAAAGAAAUAUAAAUUUUAUCAGAAGAUUAUAUGCUAAAGUUAAGUUACCUUCAUCAUGGACAAAGGAUGUGAAUGGCAGGUGUGUACAGCUUUAGCCAAAGUCUCAUCCAGAGAAGUCCUACUUGAAAACAUUGAACACUGUGAUAGUGAGGAAUGAUAACGAUGAACACCAGAAUCUAAUAUAUGAACACUAAACACUGAACACUGUGAUGAUGAGGAGAAGUCAAUUCUCAUCCAAAGGAGAAUUGACUCAGGAUGAGAAUUGACUCCUUCGGAUGCAUUCCAAAUGUUUAUUUCAAUCUUUAGUUAGGCCUUUCACCGUUUCAAGGAUAUACUUCAAUAUAUAGAUUUCAAUAAUUCAACUAUUAAAAUUUAAUUAAAAAACCAACAGACCCGAACCUUCAAAAUCUCAGCGAGAAAUUAUAAACAAAUCAAAAUACUAAAUCAAAAAAGAUGAAUCAUAAUCCAAAUUGAGGAUAAUAACAUACAGAUCUUUCAAAAGUAAACAAAUAAAUUCCGAGAUUCGAAAGAGUGGGACCUUCCAAGAACGGCCUUUAAUGAUGAUGUGGCCACCACUAGAGAAUUGCAUGAAGAUAUCUGAAAACACCCCACUGCGACAAAUCUCCCGUCCUCCAUUUCUCUCCCCCUCUCUCAAUAAAAACCCCCACAUUUUCCCAAAAAUCAGGGUCACCAAAUUGGAUUAAGCAAGCAUGCAUAUACCUGAGGGUCGUGAACUUGGUCGAUGAUGUAGGGAGAGGUGAGGUGGAAGACGCCAGCACAACCGUUGAUAGCGACGGCGAUUGAAUCAUAAUGGAGGAGAUCGAUCUGGAAGAGAUGAAAAAAGUACCAAACCAACAUGAACAAAUCCUUAUAUCAAAACAGCACCAAACCUUUAACAAUUCCUGAGAAAAAACAAAAUACUCAUUAAAUUAAAUCAACACUCCUCCCUAUAGCAUGCAAAAAAAAAAAAAAAAAAACUCACCCAAAUAAUUUUCUACCAAAUAUAUAAACACAAUAAAAAAUAAAAAACAACAAAUCUUUGAGAAAGAUUACCGAAAACCAAAAACCCAAAAAUUUAGUCACCCAUCAAAAUAGAUAUGCAUUCAUUAAAAAAAAAAAACUAAAAUUUCUCAACAAAUAGAAAACACAAAACCCCCACAGAGCAGAAAAAAAUUUAACAAAAUAAAACCUACGUCUUCAAACCCAAAAACAAAGAAAUACAAUGAACAACAAAAAAGAACGCAGACAAAGCAAAAAGUGAGAAACAGCAGCUAUGUAAAGGGCGCAAAGGAAGCUUCUUCCGAAUCAAAAAAAAAAAAAACCGGAAAGAAACGAAAAAACCGUGAAAAACUAAACACGUGGUAACCACGAAUCCUUCCAAAUACAUUUUAUAUAUAGUAGUCUAAAUAUAAGAAUUAGACCAUUUUCUAUCAAUUAAUGCUUUUAGGAUAAUCAAUCAC